CCUACGGGUGGCAGCAGUGAGGAAUAUUGGUCAAUGGGCGGAAGCCUGAACCAGCCAAGUAGCGUGCGGGAUGAAGGCCCUACGGGUCGUAAACCGCUUUUACACGGGGAUAACACCCUCCACGUGUGCAUGUUUGCAGGUACCGUACGAAUAAGGGCCGGCUAAUUCCGUGCCAGCAGCCGCGGUAAUACGGAGGUCCCGAGCGUUAUCCGGAUUAAUUGGGCUUAAAGGGGGCGUAGGCGGGUGUUAAAGUCAGCUGUAAAAUCGCGCGGCUCAACCGCGCAGCGCAGUUGAAACUGGCCGUCUUGAGUACACAACAGGCAGGCGGAAUUCGUGGUGUAGCGGUGAAAUGCUUAGAUAUCACGAAGAACCCCGAUUGCGAAGGCAGCCUGCCGGGGUGCGACUGACGCUGAGGCUCGAAGGUGCGGGUAUCAAACAGGAUUAGAUACCCCGGUAGUC
This 459-nucleotide ribosomal RNA is filed under the name uncultured bacterium. RNAcentral's name for it is "partial 16S ribosomal RNA". It matches the Rfam family "Bacterial small subunit ribosomal RNA", at positions 338 to 795 of the family's 1533-position model. The record is from RNAcentral.